AGUGAACGCUGGCGGUAGGCCUAACACAUGCAAGUCGAACGGCAGCACAGUAAGAGCUUGCUCUUACGGGUGGCGAGUGGCGGACGGGUGAGGAAUACAUCGGAAUCUACUUUUUCGUGGGGGAUAACGUAGGGAAACUUACGCUAAUACCGCAUACGACCUACGGGUGAAAGCAGGUGAUCUUCGGACCUUGCGCGAUUGAAUGAGCCGAUGUCGGAUUAGCUAGUUGGCGGGGUAAAGGCCCACCAAGGCGACGAUCCGUAGCUGGUCUGAGAGGAUGAUCAGCCACACUGGAACUGAGACACGGUCCAGACUCCUACGGGAGGCAGCAGUGGGGAAUAUUGGACCAUGGGCGCAAGCCUGAUCCAGCCAUACCGCGUGGGUGAAGAAGGCCUUCGGGUUGUAAAGCCCUUUUGUUGGGAAAGAAAAGCAGCAGGUUAAUACCCCGCUGUUCUGACGGUACCCAAAGAAUAAGCACCGGCUAACUUCGUG
RNAcentral lists this ribosomal RNA (492 nucleotides) under uncultured bacterium. RNAcentral's name for it is "partial 16S ribosomal RNA". It matches the Rfam family "Bacterial small subunit ribosomal RNA", at positions 29 to 507 of the family's 1533-position model. The record is from RNAcentral.